Molecule: unclassified non-coding RNA, 1276 nt
Filed under: Homarus americanus (American lobster)
Lineage: Eukaryota; Metazoa; Arthropoda; Malacostraca; Decapoda; Nephropidae
Description: zinc finger protein 708-like, transcript variant X2
Source: RNAcentral
CCGAGUGAACGGCAUCAACAAUACCGACGCUUUGCCAGAAAACUUUUCAGUCAUAUAUUUGGUGUAAAGGAAAGGAAUUUCAUCUAUUAUUGAAUAUGAAGGAAGCUACUGUGUGCAGAUGACAUGUGAACUGUGAUGUAUCAGCUACAGUCAGUUGUGAAGUGUUGUUGGCCUACAAUUUCCUGUUGUUUCGCCGUCAAGACAAAAAAGUGUGUCUUAUAUGCUGUAAAAUGCAGUAGUUUCUCUUGUGCUGGGCAACUUGAUGUGAUAAGGCAUAAUAAGAGUGGUGAUGGACCAGCAAAGAGUGGUAGAGACUUGAGGUUGCUACCUUAGACCGCCUCUACCAUCCUCAACACAGAGACUGGUGAUGACACAUCUCUAGAUCAAGUGCAACACAAAGCAGAAAUUAACCAUGUCAAGCCCCAAAGAAAAAAACCUCCCUUGUAGGGAUUGUGGAAAACUGUUUGCCUUUAAGAGUGACCUCCAGAAGCACAUGCUGGUGCACAAUGGUAUCAAAGAGUUUAGAUGUGAGGAGUGUGGCAAACAAUUUUCUCAGAAGGGUCAUCUGAAAGCACAUUCAGCUGUGCACACUGAUGGCAGCACGGGCAUGUCGUCUGCCAGCACUGACCAGCAGCAUCUACGCAGAUCACGCAUGAUUCACGACACCCCAAGUUCUAUUGGUCCAUCACUCAACUUGAGUCUAAAUGACUGUUGUCCAGGAAGCAGUUGUUGUGACUCAAGGCGAGUUAUAAUUUGUUCAAGAUUUUUUUCUUGAAGUGUUGUCUCAAAGGAAUUUUUUGGUGUAUUUGUUGGGGCUGUGGUCCAUACCCUACUGUAUACUGUACAGAUAUAUUUCUUAGUGAAAUAGAUAGAAUUAUAUACUGUAUUGUGAUUCUACAGUACUGUAUAUUUUGUGACCAUUUUUUAUCCCAUUCUCGUGUUAUGUCGAAGGUCUACUGUACGUACAGGUACAGUAUUAGUAUUUUAUUUCUAUUUCAUUAGAUGCAUCAGUCAGCUUUAUAGAUGCCAAUCCUAAUUGACUUAAUCCUUUACUGAGAACAUUUUGCCUGGCCCACAUUGUCUCACCCAACCUGACCAGCUGCAGUGACUUAGCAUAAGACCAGUUGUUGGUCAUCCUUAUUAAUAUAGUAUUUCUGUUAGUGUUUGAUAACUUGUAUGUAUUUCUGUUAGUGUUUGAUAACUUGUAUGUGUUUCUGUUAGUGUUUGAUAACUUGUAUGUAUCCAUAAAUGUAGCUCAAUAAAUUACUUAAUUAUU